CACAGGUGUUGAUUCUAAGGAUACCCCCAAUAAACAUCUUUCGUGCUAAAGCCCAUUCCAGAAUUUACUUCCCAGCUAUCUUUGAUGUUCAUAUUGUCAGAGGUGGUGGCCGCUGAAACAGGCAAAGACAUGGAGCAUAUCUUGGGUCCAGGACCUUGGGAGUCCAGAGGAAGGUCUUUUUACCAUCAGCAUUCUCUACUGUGUUCAAUGACUGUCAGCCAAAGAUGGCCAGCACACACAAGACCGCCAAGCAUUAAGAUUCUCCUGUGGAGCCAGGCUACAAUCCUUUAAAUGAAGACAGACAGCUAGGUGGCUGCAGCCCAGCGCUACACCUCACCCCUCCCUCAGUGUCAUGCAGAAAAAAUGUAUUCAGAACUCAGAAGUGAAGUUGUGCAAAUCCAUCAUUGACACUAGCUUCAAGGUUACCUCGGGGGAGCAGAAUGUACCCCUGCCAGAGAGCUGGAUAGAUGAUGAUGGGGACAGAAAUUCUGGGGGAGUUGUAAAUGGCAGCCACUGCCUCUAUAGGAAACCCAAAGGGAACACAGCAGAAGAGGAGGUGGUGGAGGAGCCACUGCCCUCUCGAAGGGUUCAAUGUCAUUCUGCAGACACAACCAAAUAACUUUUUCUUCCCUGCUGCUCCUCCAUUUGAAAUGACAGCCCCGAGCUCGCUUUUUCCUUGAUUGUGUAACUCUGAUUACAGACAAGGCCAAGGCAAUCCCAGGGCAUUACUACAAAGCUAAGGGGUCCCCAAAGAACUAAAGAGUCAGCUCCACAAAAAUCCCGAUUCCUAGCAUGAAACUGAAAUAUGAAACCAAACGGGCAUAGAAAAGGUAUGUGCAUUCGAAUCACAUAGCAGUGACUGGAGUCCUGAGCUGUGUCUGAAGACUGUGAGAUCACGUUUGGAGCUGCUGAUUGGUUUUCAGUGAUGGCCCUGUUGCACAGUGCCGUGAGACUUAGCUCCAUGGCCAAAGACGAUGGUAUCCCCUAGGAGCCCUGUGAGGUUGCUGCUGUUCUCUUAAGACACCAGGUAGCCAUCUGAUCCUCCCUGAGCAAACUAACUGGGCAGACAGGUUUAUUAAACCUCUGUUGGUCCGACUUACAUGAAACAAGAGAGUUAUUUUGUUGUUGUUGUUUUGUUUUGUUUUAAAUUAAACCUGUCUUUGGAGCCUCCUGCUCUUAGUUUACAAGUCUUCUUUGCACACUCUAAUAUUUUAAGAAGCAGCAAACAUUAACUGAGGGUCUA
RNAcentral lists this long non-coding RNA (1243 nucleotides) under Homo sapiens (human). Its description in RNAcentral is "HSALNT0232309". Lineage: Eukaryota; Metazoa; Chordata; Mammalia; Primates; Hominidae. The record is from RNAcentral.